ACUUUUUUUUUAUUGUUCCACCUUUGUCUCCCCUCAACCUGUUUCUCUCAUAUUGAGAAAGGAUGAAUUCAGCAUCAAAAUCACCAAAACAACUGUUCUUUCAAUUCCUCAAAUUCUCUGUCGGGUUUUAGGAACAAAUCAGCAUGUUUAACACUCAAACUUUUCAGUGUGGUUCACCGACAGGAAACGUUGCUAAAGCAACAGAAUUGGUCUAAAAAAAAAAAAAAGAACAGCAGAUGUCAGAGUAAGAGGAAAUUUGCUAUCCUGAGGUGAGAUCAGAAUUUUUUUGUGUACACCUUCUCGACUGCAAGCUUAUUUCCUUUUACUGCGCCUCAUUGCCUGGCAGUUAAAUUACUCAACUCAGUAACACAACCUCCACAUGUGAAGCUCAAUGGAAAAUGUUGCUUCCACGGGUCUUCGCGCUUAUAUGUUUGACUGCUGUCUGUGCAGCUCAGGAUGAAAAUGAUCAAACCACCACUAUUCCAACACCUGCCUAUGGUAAUAUUUUCACACUGGCUCCUUUUAUUAAAGAGGAGAUUUUUCAAGUUUUAAAUUGCUAAGUUUUUCAAAAUAAAAUAUCAUCUUAAGAAUGUGUAUUAAAAAAGUAUGUAAAAAAAAAAAAAAAAAGCCCAAUUAUGGUGCUAAAUUGGCGGAAAAGUUGCGAUACAUAGGGAAUAACACAGGAAAUGAUCUCUCUUAACUGGGUAUUGAAA
Molecule: long non-coding RNA, 713 nt
Organism: Cyprinodon variegatus (sheepshead minnow)
Lineage: Eukaryota; Metazoa; Chordata; Actinopteri; Cyprinodontiformes; Cyprinodontidae
Exons: 3
Source: RefSeq, a predicted model, not a curated record